GCCCAGGUCGCCUAAUCCGGAAUGGCGCAAAUGUAUGUGUAAGACUGGUAAGCUAGCGAGCGCAAGCUCUAGCGAGUUCAAAUCUCUCCCUGGGCG
Molecule: transfer RNA, 96 nt
Filed under: Candidatus Aenigmatarchaeota archaeon
Lineage: Archaea; Nanobdellati; Candidatus Aenigmatarchaeota
Description: tRNA-OTHER
Source: RNAcentral